UCAUAGACUUGACGCCCCCAUGCAAAGCUGGGUUAUCUAAUGCUUCUGGGUUAUCUAAUGCUCGUAACUUCUCCUUCUCAUGUAGGUGGUGUCCCACCAUCUACCAAGUAAAAGAACAUGGUAUAAUUCGAUAAACCUCUGGGGGAAGUCCCUUACUUCCCCCUGAACUUUUCAAAAAAAAAAAAUCCCCGAAGAUGGCAC
This 201-nucleotide long non-coding RNA is filed under the name Elaeis guineensis (African oil palm). RNAcentral describes it as "long non-coding RNA (EGUI_LNC032191)". The record is from RNAcentral. Lineage: Eukaryota; Viridiplantae; Streptophyta; Magnoliopsida; Arecales; Arecaceae.